Molecule: ribosomal RNA, 612 nt
Filed under: Salmonella enterica subsp. enterica
Lineage: Bacteria; Pseudomonadati; Pseudomonadota; Gammaproteobacteria; Enterobacterales; Enterobacteriaceae
Also listed under: 1 other name
Description: partial 23S ribosomal RNA
Rfam family: Bacterial large subunit ribosomal RNA
Source: RNAcentral
CGUAUCACCCAAGACAACUUUACGGAGUUGACGAUUGACGGAGCGAAGCGACGUCAAAGCGUUCAUUAAAGUCGAGUUGGCUUAGGGAUACGUUCGUUGGGUAGGGGAGCGUUCUGUAAGCCUGUGAAGGUGUGUCGUGAGGCAUGCUGGAGGUAUCAGAAGUGCGAAUGCUGACAUAAGUAACGAUAAAGCGGGUGAAAAGCCCGCUCGCCGGAAGACCAAGGGUUCCUGUCCAACGUUAAUCGGGGCAGGGUGAGUCGACCCCUAAGGCGAGGCCGAAAGGCGUAGUCGAUGGGAAACGGGUUAAUAUUCCCGUACUUGGUGUUACUGCGAAGGGGGGACGGAGAAGGCUAUGUUGGCCGGGCGACGGUUGUCCCGGUUUAAGCGUGUAGGUGUGUGUUCCAGGUAAAUCCGGUUCACUUUAACACUGAGGCGUGACGACGAGGCACUACGGUGCUGAAGCAACAAAUGCCCUGCUUCCAGGAAAAGCCUCUAAGCAUCAGGUAACACGAAAUCGUACCCCAAACCGACACAGGUGGUCAGGUAGAGAAUACCAAGGCGCUUGAGAGAACUCGGGUGAAGGAACUAGGCAAAAUGGUGCCGUAACUUCGG